This 301-nucleotide ribosomal RNA is filed under the name uncultured bacterium. RNAcentral's name for it is "partial 16S ribosomal RNA". It matches the Rfam family "Bacterial small subunit ribosomal RNA", at positions 509 to 809 of the family's 1533-position model. The record is from RNAcentral.
CAGUAGCCGCGGUAAUACGGAGGGGGCUAGCGUUGUUCGGAAUUACUGGGCGUAAAGCGCACGUAGGCGGCUUGGUAAGUUAGAGGUGAAAGCCUGGAGCUCAACUCCAGAAUUGCCUUUAAGACUGCCGAGCUAGUAGGUGAGAGAGGUAAGUGGAAUUCCGAGUGUAGAGGUGAAAUUCGUAGAUAUUCGGAAGAACACCAGUGGCGAAGGCGGCUUACUGGCUCAUUCUAGACGCUGAGGUGCGAAAGCGUGGGGAGCAAACAGGAUUAGAUACCCCAGUAGUCCCUGUCUCUUAUAU